AGACCCGAAACCCGGUGAUCUAGCCAUGGGCAGGUUGAAGGUUGGGUAACACUAACUGGAGGACCGAACCGACUAAUGUUGAAAAAUUAGCGGAUGACCUGUGGCUGGGGGUGAAAGGCCAAUCAAACCGGGAGAUAGCUGGUUCUCCCCGAAAGCUAUUUAGGUAGCGCCUCGUGAAUUCAUCUCCGGGGGUAGAGCACUGUUUCGGCUAGGGGGCCAUCCCGGCUUACCAACCCGAUGCAAACUGCGAAUACCGGAGAAUGUUAUCACGGGAGACACACGGCGGGUGCUAACGUCCGUCGUGAAGAGGGAAACAACCCAGACCGCCAGCUAAGGUCCCAAAGUCAUGGUUAAGUGGGAAACGAUGUGGGAAGGCCCAGACAGCCAGGAUGUUGGCUUAGAAGCAGCCAUCAUUUAAAGAAAGCGUAAUAGCUCACUGGUCGAGUCGGCCUGCGCGGAAGAUGUAACGGGGCUAAACCAUGCACCGAAGCUGCGGCAGCGACACUCAGGUGUUGUUGGGUAGGGGAGCGUUCUGUAAGCCUGCGAAGGUGGCCUGUGAGGGUUGCUGGAGGUAUCAGAAGUGCGAAUGCUGACAUAAGUAACGAUAAAGCGGGUGAAAAGCCCGCUCGCCGGAAGACCAAGGGUUCCUGUCCAACGUUAAUCGGGGCAGGGUGAGUCGACCCCUAAGGCGAGGCCGAAAGGCGUAGUCGAUGGGAAACGGGUUAAUAUUCCCGUACUUGGUGUUACUGCGAAGGGGGGACGGAGAAGGCUAUGUUGGCCGGGCGACGGUUGUCCCGGUUUAAGCGUGUAGGUGUGUGUUCCAGGUAAAUCCGGUUCACUUUAACACUGAGGCGUGACGACGAGGCACUACGGUGCUGAAGCAACAAAUGCCCUGCUUCCAGG
RNAcentral lists this ribosomal RNA (903 nucleotides) under Salmonella enterica subsp. enterica. RNAcentral describes it as "partial 23S ribosomal RNA". It matches the Rfam family "Bacterial large subunit ribosomal RNA", at positions 711 to 1612 of the family's 2925-position model. Lineage: Bacteria; Pseudomonadati; Pseudomonadota; Gammaproteobacteria; Enterobacterales; Enterobacteriaceae. The record is from RNAcentral.